UACGUAGGGACCAAGCGUUGUUCGGAUUUACUGGGCGUAAAGGGCGCGUAGGCGGCGCGGUAAGUCACUUGUGAAAUCUCUGAGCUUAACUCAGAACGGCCAAGUGAUACUGCAGUGCUAGAGUGUGGAAGGGGCAAUCGGAAUUCUUGGUGUAGCGGUGAAAUGCGUAGAUAUCAAGAGGAACACCUGAGGUGAAGACGGGUUGCUGGGCCAACACUGACGCUGAGACGCGAAAGCCAGGGGAGCAAACGGG
RNAcentral lists this ribosomal RNA (253 nucleotides) under uncultured bacterium. RNAcentral describes it as "partial 16S ribosomal RNA". It matches the Rfam family "Bacterial small subunit ribosomal RNA", at positions 524 to 776 of the family's 1533-position model. The record is from RNAcentral.